AAUAAAUAUUAAAAUUUAACAAACUAAUAAAUUUUAAUUAUUUUUUUAACUAUAAUAAAAUUUAAUAAACUAUAGCACACUAUAAUAAAAAAAUUAAUAUCAUACCUGAUCUCGAAGCCCUCCUGCCGUGGCGCCUCCCGCCGUCGUUGCGCGCCUCCUCUGUGCCGUCACCCUCCUGCCGUGGCGCCUCCCGCCGUCGUCGCGGGCCUCCUCUGUGCCGUUGCCCUCCUGCCGUGGCGCCUCCUCUGUGUCUGCGUGCCUCCUUUCACUUGUGUGCCGUCGCACGUCCUCGAACCCCUGUGCCGUCGCGCGAUAUGGUUUCAAAAUUUCGCAUUUUUUCGGUUUUCACGAUUUUUUAUUUUUGCCUUUGCUUUAGGGUUUUAAAUGUUAAACGACAUAUUCGACCUGUGGAAAAAACCCUCGAAAUUUGCGAAUGAUGCGGAUUCGUCAAAAAAACCGUAUGGAAUCGCCACGUCUACAUCGGAUGCGUCGGGAUUCGUGAGUCAAAUAUCGGAUACGUUUCAGGGGGAAAAAAUCGGUACCUUGUCCGAAUCCACAAGGAUUCCGGGGCGAAUCCGAAUCCGAUACGCACCGCAUCCGGAUUCAUGGGGAAAAUGGGAAGUACCGGUAACUUAGCAUAAUAUUGUUCACAAUUUGGAGGUGGAUGAUUGUAUCAAUGCAAAAUACAUUUAGCUCUUUCAAGUUUCGUGUCCUUGUCUCAUUGAUGGCUUCCUUAGAGCCUUAGCCCAAAUAAUAUAUAGGUAAGAAAAUCUAUCACCCUAUCUCAACUUCUUGAUGAUUUAGAAAAAAUGUAUUAUCUCAUUGUUUGUUGAUAUAUUUUUGAAGUACCUAGAUACUUGCUUUCCAAGAUCUUCCUAAUACUUUAGAUUCCUUCAUGAGAUUCCAACAUAAGUAUUCCAUUAACCUGCUUUUAUACCGCUGUGUUUGGGUCAAAAAUUUCUUUCUUGCCAUAAACAUCAAACAACAAUUCCAUAAUUUGCACUUCUACAUCUUCCCAACCUCAUUAAUUCCCAAACAUUGAAUGGAAUCUUGAACCCACCUUAUUUGGACUUAUAUGCAGUGUUCCGUGGUGGUGUUUCACUAAGUCAUCUUUGGAGAUGGGGAUGUUUUAAAGAUGAUGAUAUAGCAGGGAAACACUCCUCUUCUAGGCCACCAUCUUUGCUAUCAAGUAGAAGACAUCCUUGGGACGUCUUUCUCAAAGAGGGGGCGUUUCUAGGGUGUUUCCCCUCCUCUAAUGGGGAUCUUGAGGAGACAUUGAGAUGUCACCAGGACGCACAGGAAACUCAACCAUGUCCCUGCCUUUUUCAACAUUUGUCAUAUAAAAAAUUACAUAAAAGAAGAUAUUUUAGAAAUUCGGGCUACUAACACUAAACUUAAUAGUCUAUUGGGCCCCACCUACACCCUAAACAUUCAAAAAAUCUAAAAAAAUUGCAUACGUCACAUCAUUUAAACCAGUGAGAUUCUUCAAAAGACUGAAGAUUUGGCUAGAAAUAAUGAAAUAACGAGGACUUGGUGUUGGAGAAAACAGUGAUUAAAUAAUGAAAAUGGCAUGUGCCAUGAAGGUCUGUGUAGUAUCAAAGGUUAGACCCCCACGAGGGGGUGUUGAUGUGUUUUUUAUGCACAUGCGAACACAGAACAAAAUACCAUAAGUAUCUUAUCCUCUCUUGAACAAAGUUAUUCGAAUGCUGAAGAGUUGCAUAAGGAUCAAUCGAAAUAACUCCAAGGUUCUGGUAUGUAGGGUCUCUAUGUGUGGAUAAGCUCUGUUGGUGUGAUGUGAUUAUGCUGGAAUCACAAGGGGACUUACGUUUGUAUGCCUGAAUGCUUGAUUUGUUGGAACUUGAGUCGUAACUACUCACCGGGAGAUAAAGAAAUAUCAAAAGCAUAGGGUUUAGAGAAUCUAUUCUAAGACCUAGAAUGUAAGAAGGUAGAUGAACGACUAGGUGGAGUCCUAUUGGGCGAGGUCUCACCAUCAAAUUGAACAAUUCAACACCAGCUCAGUGCGAUCUUUUAGGGUAGUUCCGAAGAUGUUCAAAUCAUUACUGUCAAACAUUGAUCAUAAUUCAAGUUUAUGGAUGAACAAUAGACACAUAACGACUUGAGAUUAAGCUCAUUCUAUGCCAGUUGACCACGCAAGGCGCACUUACAAUUAGCAAGAGGCUAGUGGUUUGGACUAGGCAGAUUCCACACGAGUGCAUUCAAUAACUUCUUUCAUUCAAUCUAAUUAUUUACCAUCUAAGAAUGAAGAUUCAACAAGAAACCAUGCAUAUUGCAAGAAACAACACAUUUCACCUUAACUUCAAUGAAAAUGUAGUCCAUUUACAAUUUAGGCAACAAUUUCUUGCCUUCUCCUUAUCUACUCUAAUUGCUACUUUAUUCACUAUUCUUAUGCUUCAGACUAUUCUACCAACUAUUAACUAUCAACUCACUAUUAACCUUUACAAAUGAUGAACCCGAGCUUUAUAUAGGGAGCUCUUUACAAUUCAAUGGCUCUGAUUGAUUUACUAUCAAUGGCUAGGAUUACAAGAUGGAAAACCCUAAUUAGGGUUUGUUACAAGAAACUCCUUUAGCCAAUGAGAAAAUUACAUUUAAUGCAUGAGAACCAAUGGGAAAUAGGGGUAGGUGCAUCGGAGUUUGUGUCUCCGUACAUAGGUGGGAUUCAUCGAAUCUGGACACGCUGAUGUGGACCCUUCUGACUGGAGGAACGGUUACUGGGAUGCCACCUUGUUUGGUACUUGCUCUAUGAUGACCUUGGUCGAUCCUCCUUUGUCUUUGAUGCACUUGAUGAAUGAUGUACCCCCUUGACUCUCAUGUGUUUGAUGAAGCCUCUUCACAGUCAAGUCACUCCUUUUCUGGUAGCAUAUCUCUCUUCGCAAGAUCCCUCUUUUUGACAUCUUGUGAUCUCUCCAUGUGGUAGAAUGAGGUCCUUGAGGAUAGCUUGGUCUAUUACGUGCAACUCUUUGAACACUUGAAGUCUUCCAACUUUGAAGCACUUCGAGUCCUCCACACGUUUAAAGUGCCCUUGAUGAUGAUGGAACUUGAAUAGGUCCUCCUUGUCCUUGAUGAUGAUGGAACUUGAAUAGGUCCUCUUUGUCCUGGCUUGAUCUUCCUCCAUCUUGAUUUUGUUGAUCUGCAAAACAAACAAAAGAUGAUUAAGUACACAUGAUAUAUUGAUUCUAACAUGGCAUUUCUUACCUUAAAUCAUCAACAAGAAGAUAUUAAGAUUAAUUUCGCUUUGGAUCCUCUCCAAGGAUAGGACCUAUAAUGAGAUUCGCUUUGGACCCUUUGGAAGGGUCAGGAGCGAAGUUCGCUUUUUUGCACAAAUUCCUCACUUUUCCUCAUUUCACUUGGUUUAGCUCAUUUCGAAAGGCAUGUAUAAGUUCAUUUUUCAUUCACCCAAGGCGUGGAAUCAAGGAUUUUAACCUAUAUGCUAGAAGCAGGAGAGGUUUUUAGAGAAAUUUGCUUUGGACCCUUUGGAAGGGUCAUGAGCGAAAUUCAUGUUUUAAGCCCAAUUUCUUCAUUUUCCCCUCAACUUUGCUCUUAGACUUGGCUUUUAGGUCCUUCCUUCAUCUUAAUCAAGUCCAUUUGCCUUCAAGCUGAUGUCAACUCAAUGCUUUUGAUGACAAAUUAGGCCUUUCUAAGGAUUUCGCUCUGGACGCUUUGGAAGGGUCAGAGCAAAAUUUCCUAAAAUGCUCAAAUUCUUGACCUUUCUCCAAAUUUUCAAGUCUAGACUUGAUCAUUAGGCUUUUUCCAAGGAUAAAUAGGUCAGUUACACAUCAAUCAAAUGCCUAGAACUUCAUCAUUCAUCAACUGGACCAAUCUCAAACCCUCAAAUGGGAAAUCCUUGAUGAUACUCACUCACAAACCUUCAUUCACUUCCUUAACUCAAAGACAUAGGUCUCAAAAGGCAAGACUCCUAGCAGGAUAUAAGGACUUCCUCAAACUCAAUCAAGACUUCACCUAGAAACAAGAGCAAAGCCAAACCUAGAGAAGGCUUUCAAAGAGACCCUGACCUGGACCACCUACUGACCCACCUCAACUCAAGCAGACCCCCCUAUCCUAAUGGUCUCUCUGGCAACUCUCCAAUGCAAAGGCUAAAAGCCAAGACCAGACAACUAAGCAAAGAAAACUAACCCAAGAAAGCAAAAAGUAGGGAUCCCCAUUGCAAUGGGGCGAUGUGUGAAUACGUCACAAGAAGGGGUUCCACCCCCUGACCGCAAAUUGAGGUCCUUGGCCCCCUCCCCCCCAGCCCUGAGACUCUAUGGAACAUAGCUUCUAGACAACCUUGCUAACAAAUUUUUUCUUUAGAAACUCUUUCUCCGAAGUCUUCAAUAUCCUUUUAAAUGCCUUAACUUCUCAACAAAGAUGGGCAUCAUAGCCCAAUGAACCUUUUAGGUGCUUUCACUUCUCUAUUCCCUCUCUAUUCCCAUAGAAUCCCUAUACUUGGACUUUUCCAUUUACAUUAUUACAAAUCUAUAAGGGGAUUUAUGGAGUGGGACAUUCUCCUUAAUCUUCACACAUACAUGACAUCCAGAUUUUGGAGGCCUCAAACAAAUCACAGAAAAUUGAGUUUCUAGGAAAUUGCUAAUGCUGUGACCUUAAGUAUCAAUUACCCUUCUCAUUGCUUUACUCCACAGGGUUUCAUCAUAACUUUCCACUUAACUGGCUCUAAGUCUAGGUUCUUUCAACAAAAGAGUAAUUGGUUUCUCCUUGUUAAUUGAACCUUUCAAUAGUUGUCUCUUCAAAGGAGCAUGCAUUCCCAUUUAUUCUAAUAAAUAAAGUUGAUGAAUCUUAUAACUCUUUUCAAGUAGUUGUUGUUAGAACCUAGAGGCGCUGAUAACUAGCCACCUCUUUAAUAGGCUUCUUCAGAAUCUUCAUAUUAAUACUGUCUCUGUCCCUCUUGCUUUGACUCGGUCAGAUGUGUUCUUUUCACUACUUGAUACAAUGAUGGGCCAAUCUCUUGUUUCCUUAUUUUCAUUAGUUCCUUCCGUUUUCCCCAAAUGACCAUCUGGUCUGUGCCUUUUACCUUUCUGGUCCUAUAUUCCCCUUCCCUUGGACAUUUUACACAUGGAUUCUUUUGUCGGCUUGCCUUUCUGAGCCUCAUCUAGGAUGCUUUCAAUGUAUUUGUAAACACAAAUUUCUCCAUCAAGCUUCUAUCCUUAACACCUUGUUUGGCACUUGUCUCACCUUUUCAUCCUUUGCCUCUCAGCUCCCUUAUGGUCAUUAGCUCAAGCUUUGUCAUUCUUGCUGAAUUCCCCCACCUUUCUGCAGCUAGCCUUGGCAAUAUGCUGCUUCUUUGUCUUAUGAAAACUUUUCCUCAUUUCCUUGUGCUAGCAACCCCCCUUGAUGGAAUGGAAUUUUUUGCUGCUCUUCCAAAGGUCAUUCUUUUGCUAGGUGUCCAUACUUAUGAUUGGUACUACACCUGAACAAGAUGCACUUAUAAAUGAAUGGCUAGAUUUAUCCCAGACCUGCCAAUUUCAGCAUGCCAUUUGGCUUUGGUGAUACUCGUAUAGUUUUCUUUUACGUCUUAAAGUUUCUUGAAAAUGUGAAAAAAUCUUCCCAUGAUUCAGGGUUACUGGGAAACAUAGUGCAACUUAUCUCAUGUGGCACCUGAAAUACACACAUAACUGACAUGAGCACUAGAAGGUAUUUCUUUCAUUGGUUGGAAACUGAUAUGCCAAUACUCUAUGAAAAGACCCAAAUUGUAUAAAAAAAUUCCUUGGAAUAUCUGCUUCCUAUCUGCCUCUUUACAAUGAUAAAAUAUCCUCGGGUACGAAAUUAUCUCAUGGUCCCUACGGGUUCCAAAUUUUCCUUGUGCAUAUAUGCAAACCUUCCACUGGAAGUUGGAUAAAGAAAUUUUUCACAAAUCAAACAUCUAUAGGGUUGGACUUUUCACUCUCUCUGAACAUUUUGCCAUUACUUAUUUAUUAUUAUGCAUAUACGUCCAUUUAUUAGUUAGUACUCUCAAUAACUGACAUUUUUCUGCCAAGCUAACUUACCACAUACUUUAGCACAGCUGAUUAUUCAAACCACGAUUGUAUAUCAACACUAAUGCUUAAUACAAGGAUACCUUCCAAGGUCUCAUAGUAGUCUCCUACCCCACUAAUUGCUCUAUCUUAGAAGAAUUCUCAAGUUGAAUGCUGAAGAAUUUUAUGUAGUUUCUGAAAAGAGUGUAACUAAUUAAUUUAAUUUAUGUUUUAAUUUGAUUCACGUUGGAUGUAUAAUAUCUAGGCAUCUCAAAUUUCUGUGUAAAAAGAACAGUUCUUUUUGCAAUAUAUGUUUUCCAAAUUUUCUGUUUACUUCAGAUCAGGUUCAUUCAAGUUGGAUAUCUACUUUCUAGAGAUCUCAGAUUUUUGUUUAAAAUACUAAAAAGACAGUUCUCUUUUCAAUAUCUGUUUUCCAAUUUCUCUGUUCACUUCAGAUCAGGUUCAUAAAACUGUUAAAAAAUUAGCAAUUUUGUUUCAAUUCCAUAACUAUGGUGCAUGAGAAUGUAAGUUUUCUUGAGACCUCAUUUGUUUAGCAAAUGUUCACCAGGCUUACUUCUAGGCCUAGCAUUUUUUAAAAUUAAUUCUAGAUUACGUCUUUAUUGUGACACAACUUUGCAAAUAUUUCAUAAUGUUCUAUGCAAGUUUGCAGAUUUGUUCUAAUCUCGUGAUCACAAAUCACGAUAAUUUAAGAUUUGCCUCGUACAACGUUGUUGAGCAUGUCCAGUGGACGUGGUUAAGCUGUAAUGUGGGAACUUAUUGUCACAAUGACCUGAGUUGAAAAUCUCGUGGUUGUGCAAAUAAAUGUCGAUGUGUAUGCUGUCCUAAUGCAGUCUGGUGCAAAAUGGUGGAAGAUGUGGUUUGAGGGGAUCGUGCAUGUAUACUGCAGGUCUCAUUGGACUAUUGGGUGGAUUUAUGUUUGCAUAUGAAAGCUCUGCAGGAAGGCUUAUGGGCUUAUUUCCAAAUCAAGAGGAAGUUGAAAAGUACAAAAAGUGAAGUGCUGCCACCAUAAGCAGCUCGAAUCGCCAUUCAAUGGGUUUCAGGAACAUUAGAGAAUACCACGUGAGUUGGCAUGUAGGUUACGUAAUUUAUGUCUCCUGCUAUUGGAUGUAUUCUACAUUUUAGCAUGUCUUGUUGGGUUAUUUAUCUAACGAGUAUGUCAUGGUCAGACAUUCUGAUCUACACUUCUAUGUGGCUUAGAAGAAAGUUCCUGUUCUCUGUUAUGCUGCCUUUGGUAAGGAUCUCUAAUUUGAGCAUCCUAAACCAAGGUUUUGAUAUUCUUUUUCUCAUUUUGGAUAAGCCAAUAAAUGUUUUGCAUCAAGGUUUUGAUGAUCAAAGGUCUGAUUGGCGAGUAUCCUUAAAGAUGACGUUUAUUGAGUAGUGGGGCUCAUAGUCCUUCUAAAGUUUAGCAUUGCUUUGCACAACCAGUUUAUUGUUGUGAGGCUCACAUUUAUUUAAAUUUAAGAAAGGUAUUGAGGGUUUUUUUAAGCAAAAUUCCCUCCAUAUAGUGUUGCAGGUGAAAUGAUUUUUACUGGUAUACUAUAAAGUAGUUCAAGAGCAACUACGAGGGUUUGAUUUUA
Molecule: long non-coding RNA, 7582 nt
Organism: Cryptomeria japonica (Japanese cedar)
Lineage: Eukaryota; Viridiplantae; Streptophyta; Pinopsida; Cupressales; Cupressaceae
Exons: 2
Source: RefSeq, a predicted model, not a curated record